This is a long non-coding RNA of Spinacia oleracea (spinach), 1441 nucleotides long. RefSeq lists it as uncharacterized. NCBI's taxonomy places the organism in Eukaryota, Viridiplantae, Streptophyta, Magnoliopsida, Caryophyllales, Amaranthaceae. The transcript has 6 exons. The record is from RefSeq and is a predicted model, not a curated record.
AAUCUUAACCUCAUACGGUCAAAUCUGACCUGAACUCAACCUCAACCUGUUUAACUCGGAUAAUCAAAGUCCCUCACAAUCCACUUGAAGUACCUAUAACGACUUUGGAAAGUUUUGCCAGUCCUCUUUGCUGAGUGUCGACCAUGCGCUUGCUCAAGAACAAAGCUUUGCAGUUGUUGUUCCCCAAGUGUUCUAUACCCAAACUAGAGUGAGACUACACAUUCUCGCCAAAUUAUCCCUUAAAAUUAGAGGUGUUGGACAUGCUUAUUAUCUCCAUCAGAAAAUGUUAGUAUCAUCCGAGCGUAAUUCUAGAAGCUACCGCCAAUUUCAACAGAUAUUACUGAUGUUAUCACCAUUCACUAAUCACUUCGGACAUUUCGGAUAAAAGAAAAAAAAAUUCACAUGGAGGUUUUAAAUCAUGCACGUUGCAACCAAAGGCAAGACGCUAAUUGACUACAUGAAGAAAUAAUCAGAGGCGGAAGACACUCAAUUGUGCUUGAAGAAUGCAGAAUAAAGCUCAAUAUAUAAAGCCAGAUAGCAUGAGACUUAUUUUCUCUAAUAAGGAAUCAGAUCCUUAUCUAGCAUUUGAAUUGUUUGGAAGGCCAGGAUUGAAUCAACUUGUCAGAUUUUUACUCAGUCUAAGACCCUAAGCUACAUACUUCACAAUGAGAAGCUAAACGGGUGAUUCAGAAAGGAAGGAGCUAAAGAAGUGCAGAAAUCACAGUGACGGGGAUGAUGAAACUGUCCAGAAAUAGAUCAUCAAAUCCUGCACCUUUCUGGGUUUUUAAAAGCUCUCUUCCAUUACUUAGCCAACUCCAUCGCGUCCACAUCCAAUACUUCUAAGGCUUAUUCUUAUCGCCUUGAAAUGCUCCUUCGAGGAGGUGAUGUAUGUAAACGGCAAUUAGAGACUGAGAUUUCAAAUGAAUUGAAUUCAUUAAUUCUGAGUAUCUCAUUACUCGAACUCAUCUCGAUUGUCAUACGGAGUUGGCUAGUGUUCUUAUUGCUUUUACGUGAUUAAGAAAACGUAUCAAGUUUGGGAUGUCUCUAUUACCAAAUAUUGGCAAUUGAACAUCACCAUUCAAGCCAUUGAGAGCAAUAAUCACUGUAAGCAUAACUUAAGGGCACUAACAUAAGGGCACUAACACUGCGAAUUGCUCGAAAGAGCUCUGUGCCUCUUGUUUGUCAGACGCGACUUGUAACUUCUUCUCUGACAUUCAUUUUUAACUUUAUUAGUGAUGUUGAAGUAAGUUUGAUAAAUGUUAUCAUUAGUUUUAGACCCUUGUAUUUGUUUGCUCUGGUAUGGGAUAUUCUUGUGCUACUUCUAAAUUGUAUCCUGUAAUCCAAAACUAUUUAAUUUAUGAAGUAUCAAAUUGUAUCCAGUAAUCCUGUAAUAGUUUUGAAUAUAUUGACAUUUAUAUUUUCAUCUCUAAUUGUCAGAGCA